GCAGCCCUCCUUUACUGGUCCAGUCGACCGCACGUUUUAAACGUGACAAUUUUCUGCAAACGCCGCCGGGGCCGUUGCCAUAACACCCAUUCCAGUAUCACUAUGGACUAAUCAAUGUACAAUUGUAGUUCGGUAACAGUAUUGUGGUUACCGCCAGUGACGCAAACAGCUCAUUUACUUUCGGAGAAUAUAAUAUUAAAAAAUGCGA
Cinara cedri is the source of this 208-nucleotide non-coding RNA. NCBI's taxonomy places the organism in Eukaryota, Metazoa, Arthropoda, Insecta, Hemiptera, Aphididae. The record is from the annotation of a GenBank genome assembly.